AUAACGUGGUACUAGUACUAGAAUUUAACAACAAAAAACAUUUAUAUUCAGACACGUAUCAGGUAAAAACUGUUCAGGUAACGUUGGAAACAUUUAUAUUGAAACGCCCAACACGAACAAGCGAAACUCGAAGGUUUAUCUUUUCAAGUUGAGUACUACUUUGGUGAGCGCUACCACCACUAAUCUAAUAGUAAUUCAGUAUAGAAGUUGGCAUUGAAGCUAUUAAGUACCUUAAAUGGGUAGGGUUGCUUCGACCGAAUGCAACAGAGAAGGACCAGAUUACUUUGGGCUUUUUGCAUCUGAGGUGGCGGAGUUAAUUUCUCAGGAUGAAGAUUUUCUGCUAAUUUCGGAUCAGAUAUUUGAGAAAUCUGGGGAAGUAAAUGGUGCUGUCAAAGAAAAGAAUAGUAGUAUGCAUAGCUAUAUAGCCAAAGAGUUUAGAUACACCGAUGGUUCUGCUUCCUUAUUUUCUGAUUGUUUUGGAUCUCAUGUUUCGGAUUUUGGAAAGGAAAGAUUGAAGCUGUUGCUUCGGCAAAGUAUUGUUCCCCUUUCACGGGAAGUGGACGAGAUUCUGGAUCCUGUAUUUUCCGUAUGUCAGUUACGGUCAUGCCUAAGGUACAAAGAAAGUUUAUUAGCUGUACCUGGUACUGUAUCUGACUCUGAUCAAGGGAACCAUCCUCGGAAGAAGCUCAAGGCAUCCCCUCUCUCAGAUUUAGAGAGAGAGGACUUGAAUAUCUCUCCAUCUAGAGGAGAUAUGUUGAAUGGUGUUAAAAAAGUCGAAGCUGAACAGGUAAAAGAAUCCUUUGCAAAAAAGGAGCAAAAGGAGCAAAAGCAAGUGGGUUCAAAUGCUGGAGCAACUCCUGGUGACCUGGAUAUCCCCAAUGAUUUGCAGUUUUUGCUACGAAAUGAUAGCACAAAGGUUGAGAGUGUGAUGAAGAUGCAUUGUGAUGAACUUUUAGUGACGCUUGAGUACAUGGAGGAGAAGCUUGAAGAACUUCUUGAUAUUGUUAUGUCGAAUUGCAGGUUAAUGACUUUACCUGAGAAACGCCGCCUCCGGCAGUUGAUACAAGAACUUCCGCCUAGGAAUCUUGAUCGUGUUGUCGAGAUGUUAUGCCGUGGUAAGCAAGUUGAGAAACAUUCUUGCAGUGAGGUGCAUGUUGACUUAGAAAAUGAGGACAAAGCAACACUUUGGAGAGUGUAUUUCUACGUUGAAACAGUUGAAAAUGCUAAGAGGCUUCGCGAGGUGUAAUUCUAAGUGGUGACAACUGACCAGGCCCUUGAUGAGACUCUGGGUCCUACUAGUUCUAUCAAGAAUCAAGUUUGUCUAUUGUUCACAAGCUGCAGAAAGGCUUAACCAAACUGCCGAUGGUGCAAAUCUUCAAGUUGAAAGAGAUCUCUUGUGGUGAUCGUACAGGCGUCUCAACUGAACAUUUUAGAGGCCAAUGGUUGGUGUAGAUAGAACUCAGCCUUGUGUGCAGACUGCUCGUCUUUGAUGACAAAUAGAAGCAACAUGUACACAACAUAUUCAAUGGCUGUUUAAAUUGCCUGUCAGUUUUGGGCCUUUGGCUACCCAUCAUUUCGGGCAUGUAGAAAAACUAUAUUUGAUGAUUCAGGUAUCAACAAUUGUAAAUUGCCCCAUGGUUUGUUAUGCACCUGGUGGGACGGUCACUAGUUACUGCUUAUCAAUUUGAAGAGGAGGUCUAAUUGAUGAGAGGCCAGUUUCGCACA
Lycium ferocissimum is the source of this 1725-nucleotide RNA transcript. RefSeq lists it as uncharacterized. Lineage: Eukaryota; Viridiplantae; Streptophyta; Magnoliopsida; Solanales; Solanaceae. The record is from RefSeq and is a predicted model, not a curated record. The transcript has 9 exons.